This 423-nucleotide ribosomal RNA is filed under the name bacterium enrichment culture clone ALO1_GLFRUDD03HHBYU. RNAcentral's name for it is "bacterial SSU rRNA". It matches the Rfam family "Bacterial small subunit ribosomal RNA", at positions 9 to 431 of the family's 1533-position model. The record is from RNAcentral.
GAGUUUGAUCGUGGCUCAGAUUGAACGCUGGCGGCAUGCCUUACACAUGCAAGUCGAACGGCAGCACGGGAGCUUGCUCCUGGUGGCGAGUGGCGAACGGGUGAGUAAUGCAUCGGAACGUAUCCUGGAGUGGGGGAUAACGUAGCGAAAGUUACGCUAAUACCGCAUAUUCUGUGAGCAGGAAAGCGGGGGACCUUCGGGCCUCCCGCUCUUGGAGCGGCCGAUGUCGGAUUAGCUAGUUGGUGAGGUAAAGGCUCACCAAGGCGACGAUCCGUAGCAGGUCUGAGAGGAUGAUCUGCCACACUGGAACUGAGACACGGUCCAGACUCCUACGGGAGGCAGCAGUGGGGAAUUUUUGGACAAAUGGGGGCAACCCUGGUCCAGCCAUGCCGCGUGAGUGAAGAAGGCCUUCGGUUGUAAGAC